GCCACAGCCGUCGAGUUUGCCCGCUGCCUCCACGGCUCCGCGCUGCAAGCCGACGAGGAAGGCCACGGCCGCCCUCCGUCUCGCCACCACUCGUGGAUGUGGCGAUGUCAUGUACUGAUAUGCCCUCCACUGCCUCAGCCGCUACUCUCUGCAUCGCCAUUUUUCACCUUGAGCCACAGAGCACGCCCAGGAAGAUAGCCGAACUGCAGACUGCAGCAGAGAAAGGAAAAAGGAUGAGGAGAGAAGAAGAUGAGUGCUUCCUCUUGCCUGCUUCUCACCAGUUCAGACUGCAGCAGCGUGGAUCUGGUGGGAGCAGCCGAGCAGGAGACGAGGAGUCUCACGAGAGGGGAAAAGUUCAGAGGAGAAUUUUGAGAUCUGAUCUGGAAGACUAGAAGACGAGUUAGUUAUAGGUCCUCUAAUUGAGGUUUUGAGGGAGUUGGAGGGAAAUUUUCGCGGUCACUACAAAUAUUUACG
This 474-nucleotide long non-coding RNA is filed under the name Oryza sativa (Asian cultivated rice). RNAcentral's name for it is "long non-coding RNA (OSAT_LNC001470)". Lineage: Eukaryota; Viridiplantae; Streptophyta; Magnoliopsida; Poales; Poaceae. The record is from RNAcentral.